Molecule: ribosomal RNA, 1224 nt
Filed under: metagenome
Description: bacterial LSU rRNA
Rfam family: Bacterial large subunit ribosomal RNA
Source: RNAcentral
CUAUCCAUGUCCAGGUUGAAGCUGCCGUAAGAGGUAGUGGAGGACCGAACCCACAUCCGUUGAAAAGGGUGGGGAUGAGGUGUGGAUAGGGGAGAAAUUCCAAUCGAACCCGGAGAUAGCUGGUUCUCCUCGAAAUAGCUUUAGGGCUAGCCUCGAUACAGAUUUGCGGAGGUAGAGCACUGAAUUUCCUAGGGGGCGUCAAAGCCUACCGAAGAAUAUCAAACUCCGAAUGCCGCGUAAUCGAUUAUCGGGAGUCAGACUGCACGAGAUAAGUUGGGCGGUCAAAAGGGAAAGAGCCCAGACCUUCAGUUAAGGUCCCCAAGUGCGCGUUAAGUGGAAAAGGAUGUGGGAUUUCGAAGACAACCAGGAUGUUGGCUCAGAAGCAGCCAUCCAUUCAAAGAGUGCGUAAUAGCUCACUGGUCGAGAGGUCCUGCGCCGAAAAUGUCCGGGGCUGAAACGCGCCACCGAAACUAAGGAACCGAAAGGUUGGUAGAGGAGCAUUGCAUGCGGRAAGAAGCAGUACCGUAAGGAGCUGUGGACUGCAUGGAAGAGAGAAUGCCGGAAUGAGUAGCGAGAUAGAGGUGGGAAUCCUCUAGGCCGAAUAUCCAAGGUUUCCAGAGUAAAGCUGAUCUGCUCUGGGUAAGUCGGGGCCUAAGGCGAGGACGAGAGUCGUAGCCGAUGGACAACAGGUGGAGAUUCCUGUACUGCGGUAUGACAGAACUGUGGGGACACGUAAGGAAAGCGGAAGCCGGGAAUGGAAAGCCCGGUGCAAGCGGGGUACCAGYCACUYUGGCAAAUCCGGGUGGCAAUGGGAAGCCGUGAUGCGGAGCGAAAUACAAGUAGCGAAGUCCGUGAGCCAUGCGUCAAGAAAAGCCGCUAUYGUUUAUACCGUACCCGUACCGUAAACCGACACAGGUGGAUGAGGAGAGAAUCCUAAGGCCGGCGGAAGAAGYAUUGUCAAGGAACUCGGCAAAAUGGCCCCGUAACUUAGGGAUAAGGGGUGCCUGGGAAACCAGGCCGCAGAGAAUAGGCUCAAGCAACUGUUUAGCAAAAACACAGGUCUAUGCGAAACCGAAAGGUGAGGUAUAUGGGCUGACGCCUGCCCGGUGCUGGAAGGUUAAGAGGAGAGGUUAGCGGUAACGCGAAGCUUUGAAUUUAAGCCCCAGUAAACGGCGGCCGUAACUAUAACGGUCCUAAGGUAGCGAAAUUCCUUGUCGGGUAAGU